Molecule: ribosomal RNA, 249 nt
Filed under: uncultured Rhodocyclaceae bacterium
Lineage: Bacteria; Pseudomonadati; Pseudomonadota; Betaproteobacteria; Rhodocyclales; Rhodocyclaceae
Description: partial 16S ribosomal RNA
Rfam family: Bacterial small subunit ribosomal RNA
Source: RNAcentral
CACGCCCUAAACGAUGUCAACUAGGUGUUGGGUGGGUAAAACCAUUUAGUACCGGAGCUAACGCGUGAAGUUGACCGCCUGGGGAGUACGGCCGCAAGGUUAAAACUCAAAGGAAUUGACGGGGACCCGCACAAGCGGUGGAUGAUGUGGAUUAAUUCGAUGCAACGCGAAAAACCUUACCUACCCUUGACAUGUUCAGAACCCUCGAGAGAUUGAGGGGUGCCCGAAAGGGAGCUGGAACACAGGUGC